Molecule: long non-coding RNA, 3190 nt
Organism: Alligator mississippiensis (American alligator)
Lineage: Eukaryota; Metazoa; Chordata; Crocodylia; Alligatoridae
Exons: 2
Source: RefSeq, a predicted model, not a curated record
GGUGCUCCUGCCACUUUAAGGGCCUGGAGCCGGCAGCCUCCAGGUGCCUGAUUGCGGCAGCCAUUUUGAGGCCUAUAUAAACCAGGCAGUUUGGCUGCAGGAGGUCAGGCAGUAACAUUGCCUGGCUUUAGGGCUGCUGUGAAUGCCUGGAGGGAAACCGCAUGUACAGCCAUGGAGGUUCAUUGCCAAUGGCUCCUGUCUGCGUGGAGAACCUGCCAUGGACCUUGGACGGGAGUGGGGAGUGGAGGUAGUCCGGAAGCAGCUGCGAUUCAUUCAGGGAGAGGGGUGGACGGGGGGCACUGCUAGAUCACCAACUAUUUUAACACCCGUCCCUCCUUGAAAACAAAAUACCGCCCUACCUUCCAGACACUCCACGCUCCCUACAGCAGCAGGCUGGCUGGGUGAGCCCUGGUGUGGAGCGAACAUUGACCUGCCCCAAGCAACAAACUUCAUGAAAAACAAACUCUCUCCAUGUAGGAUUUAGCAGCUGGAGAUUGGCAUCUCAGCAAGGAACAGCCCAGAAACUUUAUGGAUGGGGGGGAGGGGAUGGGGGGGCGUGCCCGAGACACACAAUCUAACUUGUAGCUCUUAAAGGCAGGAGGAAUGAAACAAGAUCCCUUGCCUGCCAAAAAGGGUUGUGCACAGUUUCUCUGUGGUGCCUACUCCCCCUCCCUCCCUCCAACCCCACUCCCUUCUUCCCUUCUCUGUGCCCCCCUUCUAAUCUGCUGGCCAAGAGUAAUUGGACCAUUAAAAGCAGCUUGGACAGGGGAGGGAGGAAGAGAUUCUUUGGGGAUGAGACCUUUGCUUGGAAGAGCCGAGUGGUCUCAGUAUUAAGUUAUACUCCCCUCCACUCUCAGGUUCUCUGAACUUUCUAAGCCAGAAAACAAGGAGGCCUGGCUGUGGGUGCAGCCGCAGGAAGAAUGAGGAAGAAAGCAAGUCAGAUUGGAAAUGGAAAUACAUGACCAAAUUCUACCCCAUUGAAAGCUACAGGCCUGAGUCUGCUGUCUCUGCCACCUGUGCUGCUGAACUGAUUUAAGCGAUUUCCUUCCUGAUCUAUACCAGGGAGGUGCAUGCGGAGUGCACCAGGUGUAAAUCUAGGCUGGAUUUCACUCAAAGUCUUGACAGCAGCACCUGGUGCCAUUUUGCCACCUCUCACACUGUGCCUGCUCCCUUUAUUUCUGCUGGAGGAUCGGAUGGGUGAGACAAAACAGGGGGAGGACAAAAAGGGGUGAGCUUCAGAUCAAGACCCUGAUCAUGUUUAAACCAGGGCUCUGGUGCUGUUUGGGUCUGACUGCGCCAAAAGUAAGUCAAUAAAUAAAAAUCUUGCAUGUUGAUUUCACAAGUCCUUGGCGCCCAUGGGGAAAGACGUUUGCUCCCCACUUUGGAUCCAGCGUGAGACCAAAACUCUUAAGGGCAGAACAGGGGCGGGGGGUGUUCAAAUAUAAACACAAAAGCUAAAUCUCAGCCCAGUGCAACACACUCUAAACAUGUCAGCACCAAAGGAAAUUGUAUCAGAUCCUCAGUUGGUUUCUAAUCCCACCUGAAAAGGCAGUAUGGUCUCAUGGUUAGGUUUGUGUUGUUAGGACUCUAGGCUGCAUCUACACAUACACUUUCCUGCAGAGUAGACCAUUUAGCUGUGGAGUAAAGCGUCACUAUCUACACGUGCAACAGUAUUAGGCCACAGUAAGCUAAUUUACACAGACAUAAGAUAGCACUGUUGGGGACAGUACUAUUUUACAGUGGGAUAAUUUACUGCAAUUAAAUGCAUGUGUGCAUGCUGACUGUGGGCGUAAACUGUGCCCAGUCAGCCAGGAGCCAGACUCCUGCCUGCUGUCCAGCCACAUGCACUUUCAGCACCCUCAUGCCCCAACCAGGCCCUCUGCUGCCUGACGCUGCUACCCAGAAGCUGGGACUGGCCCCCUGUGCUCCCUGCCAGCCCAGGCUUACUUCACCCUGCCUCAAAUUGUUGCUGUUCCAGGCACACAUGUAGAUGCUGCACCUGGGAGUACUUUACUCUGGCUCAAACUGCUCUGAAGUUUAUUGCUUCUCAUUAAUUGCAUAUGUAGACAUACCCUAAGAGAAAAGUGUUCUGCUCCCAGCUUUACCAUGGACCUUAGGCACAAUGCUUUCCUCACACCCUUUGUACAUCCUUUGAAUGCAGGGGCUAGAUCCUAUUCUACCUGUUAGGUACCACAAUGGACUUAGGUGCCUAGGUGCAAUCCUAUUCCACCCUAUACAAGUUCCUGAAAAUCCAUGAGUACAAGGGUGGCCAACCUGUGGCACACAUGUGAUACAUUGGAUGCCCCAGCCUCCCUGUGUGGCAUGAAGCAGAUUAAGAAGGAGAUAGUGGCAGAUAGGGCAGGGAGCUGAAAGCAGAGCAGCAUAUCAGAUGGGGGCCACAGGGCAGGAAGCAAAAAACCCAAAGCAAUACAUUGAUCGGGGAGUAUAGGGCAGGGAGCAGAAAGCAGAGAAGAGGAUCAAAGGGGAUGCAGGAGAAGGGGAUCAAAGUGGCACUUGGGGAGGGUGCAGGGCUAAUUUGAGGCAUGCCUGCCAAAACAGUGGGCCACCACUAUGCUGUAGUAGGAGCCUGGGACCCCAGUAACGAGAGUGUCCUGCGUGUCUGCCGCAUCUCCCGCCGCUACACCAAGCUGAUGUGCCUGCCUCAUGGUGUCCGACAUGAUCCACUGGUCCCAUGACAUCUACAUGGAGCACAUCACAGGCCACCGCCAGUACACGGACCCCACCAGACAGAUCAUCACUGGACUGGACCCAGAGGGGACUGUCUGAACCCCAUCUCAACCUGAUGGACUUCACUUUGAGAAGAACGUUCAGCAACAGACCACCCCGCUCCACCCGAAGAGGAGCCUCACGAUGAGACUCUAUAUGGACUGAGAAACUUUCUUCAGCCUACUUCCUCCACCAUUGCGGACCAUUGUAUGGGUUUGUGUGUAUCUAUCUUCUUUCUCUCUCAGUGUCGCGAACCCCCCCCCUUCCCCCUCCCCCACCUCCCCCAGUCCUGGACUUAGUAGGCUAACAUUGUAUUUUCUGUAACCUAGUUGUGUUCCCCUCCUCACCCCCAUCCCUCUUACGUUAGUCCCUUGCUCGGGCAAUUUGUAUUUCCCUACUGGCUUUUGUCAUCUUUUUGGAUUCAUACCUCUUAACAUCUACUAAUAAAAUUCAGUCUGUUCUA